AUACGGAGGGGGUUAGCGUUGUUCGGAAUUACUGGGCGUAAAGCGCACGUAGGCGGACUGGAAAGUUGGGGGUGAAAUCCCGGGGCUCAACCCCGGAACUGCCUCCAAAACUUCCAAUCUAGAGAUCGAGAGAGGUGAGUGGAAUUCCAAGUGUAGAGGUGAAAUUCGUAGAUAUUUGGAGGAACACCAGUGGCGAAGGCGGCUCACUGGCUCGAUACUGACGCUGAGGUGCGAAAGCGUGGGUAGCAAACAGGAUUAGAAACCCUAGUAGUCC
This 274-nucleotide ribosomal RNA is filed under the name uncultured bacterium. RNAcentral describes it as "partial 16S ribosomal RNA". It matches the Rfam family "Bacterial small subunit ribosomal RNA", at positions 523 to 796 of the family's 1533-position model. The record is from RNAcentral.